RNAcentral lists this ribosomal RNA (301 nucleotides) under uncultured bacterium. RNAcentral's name for it is "partial 16S ribosomal RNA". It matches the Rfam family "Bacterial small subunit ribosomal RNA", at positions 509 to 807 of the family's 1533-position model. The record is from RNAcentral.
CAGCAGCCGCGGUAAAACGAAGGGUGCAAGCGUUACUCGGAAUUACUGGGCGUAAAGCGUGCGUAGGUGGUGGUUUAAGUCCGUUGUGAAAGCCCCGGGCUCAACCUGGGAAUUGCAGUGGAUACUGGGUCACUAGAGUGUGGUAGAGGAUAGUGGAAUUUCCGGUGUAGCAGUGAAAUGCGUAGAGAUCGGAAGGAACAUCUGUGGCGAAGGCGACUAUCUGGGCCAACACUGACACUGAGGCACGAAAGCGUGGGGAGCAAACAGGAUUAGAUACCCCGGUAGUCCCUGUCUCUUAUAC